RNAcentral lists this transfer RNA (71 nucleotides) under Loxodonta africana (African savanna elephant). It matches the Rfam family "tRNA". Rfam says of the family: Transfer RNA (tRNA) molecules are approximately 80 nucleotides in length. Their secondary structure includes four short double-helical elements and three loops (D, anti-codon, and T loops). Further hydrogen bonds mediate the characteristic L-shaped molecular structure. tRNAs have two regions of fundamental functional importance: the anti-codon, which is responsible for specific mRNA codon recognition, and the 3' end, to which the tRNAs corresponding amino acid is attached (by aminoacyl-tRNA synthetases). tRNAs cope with the degeneracy of the genetic code in two manners: having more than one tRNA (with a specific anti-codon) for a particular amino acid; and 'wobble' base-pairing, i.e. permitting non-standard base-pairing at the 3rd anti-codon position. The record is from Rfam by way of RNAcentral. Lineage: Eukaryota; Metazoa; Chordata; Mammalia; Proboscidea; Elephantidae.
GCAAUGAUGGUUCAGUGGUAGAAUUCUUGCCCUCCAUGCAGAAGACCUGGGUUCAAUUCCUGGACAAUGCA